Molecule: non-coding RNA, 599 nt
Organism: Onthophagus taurus
Lineage: Eukaryota; Metazoa; Arthropoda; Insecta; Coleoptera; Scarabaeidae
Source: RefSeq, a predicted model, not a curated record
CAAAGAGAUUUUUAUAAUAUUGCAUUAUUUCCAAGUAUUGUAGGAUGCAUUGAUGGCACCCACAUAAAGAUACAAUCUCCAGGAGGAGAAGAUGGUGAGAUAUUCAGAAACAGGAAAGGCUAUUUCUCUAUAAAUGUCCAAGUUGUGGGAGAUUCUGACCUUAAGGUGCAAGAUAUUGUAGCACGAUGGCCAGGAUCAACACAUGACAUGACUAUUUAUUCAAAUAGUAGAAUACGUGCUAGGCUAGAAGGUGGAGAAUUUAGAAAUGGAAUUAUUCUAGGUGAUAGUGGUUAUGGUGUAGGUAAAUAUCUGCUAACACCAUUACAAAAUCCAGAAACUGCAGCAGAAAAAUUGUACAAUAAGGCCCAUAUCACAACACGAAACUCUGUUGAACGCUUGUUUGGUGUAUGGAAAAGGCGAUUUCCCAUAUUAGCAUAUGGCAUUAGGUUAAAAUUAGCCACUGCUUACGCUGUAAUUGUAGCAUCAGCAGUACUACAUAAUAUAAGUUUUUCGACAAUGUUUUUGUAACUGGAAACUAUUGAUAAUAGUACUUCCUUUUCGCGGCAACUAUAAUUAAGAGAACGCAUUCUCUUUUUCUU